GUGGGGAAUAUUCCGCAAUGGACGAAAGUCUGACGGAGCAACGCCGCGUGAGUGAUGAAGGUUUUCGGACUGUAAAGCUCUGUUGUUUAGGACGAAAGUGCCUGUUGCGAACAGUUACGGGUAUUGACGGUACUAAACGAGGAAGCCACGGCUAACUACGUGCCAGCAGCCGCGGUAAUACGUAGGUGGCAAGCGUUGUCCGGAAUUAUUGGGCGUAAAGAGCAUGUAGGCGGGAAUCUAAGUCUGUUGUGAAAAUGCGGGGCUCAACCCCGUAUUGCGAUGGAAACUGGGUUUCUUGAGUGCAGGAGAGGAAAGGGGAAUUCCCAGUGUAGCGGUGAAAUGCGUAGAUAUUGGGAGGAACACCAGUGGCGAAGGCGCCUUUCUGGACUGUGUCUGACGCUGAGAUGCGAAAGCCAGGGUAGCGAACGGGAUUAGAAACCCGUGUAGUCC
RNAcentral lists this ribosomal RNA (450 nucleotides) under uncultured bacterium. RNAcentral's name for it is "partial 16S ribosomal RNA". It matches the Rfam family "Bacterial small subunit ribosomal RNA", at positions 354 to 796 of the family's 1533-position model. The record is from RNAcentral.